AAUCUGCCUGUAAGACGGGGAUAACUCCGGGAAACCGGGGCUAAUACCGGAUAAUAAGAGAAGAAGCAUUUCUUCUUUUUGAAAGUUGGUUUCGGCUAACACUUACAGAUGAGCCCGCGGCGCAUUAGCUAGUUGGUGAGGUAACGGCUCACCAAGGCGACGAUGCGUAGCCGACCUGAGAGGGUGAUCGGCCACACUGGGACUGAGACACGGCCCAGACUCCUACGGGAGGCAGCAGUAGGGAAUCUUCGGCAAUGGGCGAAAGCCUGACCGAGCAACGCCGCGUGAGCGAUGAAGGCCUUCGGGUCGUAAAGCUCUGUUGUUAGAGAAGAACAAGUACGAGAGUAACUGCUCGUACCUUGACGGUACCUAACCAGAAAGCCACGGCUAACUACGUGCCAGCAGCCGCGGUAAUACGUAGGUGGCAAGCGUUAUCCGGAAUUAUUGGGCGUAAAGCGCGCGCAGGCGGUCUCUUAAGUCUGAUGUGAAAGCCCACGGCUCAACCGUGGAGGGUCAUUGGAAACUGGGAGACUUGAGUGCAGGAGAGAAAAGUGGAAUUCCACGUGUAGCGGUGAAAUGCGUAGAGAUGUGGGGGAACACCAGUGGCGAAGGCGGCUUUUUGGCCUGUAACUGACGCUGAGGCGCGAAAGCGUGGGGAGCAAACAGGAUUAGAUACCCUGGUAGUCCACGCCGUAAACGAUGAGUGCUAGGUGUUGGGGGGUUCCACCCUCAGUGCUGAAGUUAACACAUUAAGCACUCCGCCUGGGGAGUACGACCGCAAGGUUGAAACUCAAAGGAAUUGACGGGGGCCCGCACAAGCAGUGGAGCAUGUGGUUUAAUUCGAAGCAACGCGAAGAACCUUACCAGGUCUUGACAUCCUUUGACCACUCUAGAGAUAGAGCUUUCCCCUUCGGGGGACAAAGUGACAGGUGGUGCAUGGU
RNAcentral lists this ribosomal RNA (941 nucleotides) under uncultured bacterium. Its description in RNAcentral is "bacterial SSU rRNA". It matches the Rfam family "Bacterial small subunit ribosomal RNA", at positions 123 to 1049 of the family's 1533-position model. The record is from RNAcentral.